GCAUUACCACCGACCAGUCCUCAGCCGGCAACAUGAAGCUGGGUGGCCUCUGCCUCCUGCUCCUCCUCGCCGUCCUUCUCACCCUCAAUGCAGAGCUCCAGGCAGUUGAUGUAGGUAUCUGUGUGACGGAGUGCAAGGUAGACCAGGACUGUGGGGCAGGAAGACGAUGCACCAGCAAUGGAUGUGGCCGGGUCUGCUCCCCAGUCCGGCGAAGAGAGGCCUGCGAGCACCAGUGCAGAGAAGACAGGGACUGUGGGAGUGGACAUCAGUGCGUGAGGAAGGGCUGUGGGCACGUCUGCGCCCCCGUCCAUCAAGUCGAUGUAGGUAUCUGUGUGACGGAGUGCCGUGUAGACCAGGACUGUGGGGAAGGAAGACAAUGCACCAGCAAUGGAUGUGGCCGUGUCUGCUCCCCAGCCCAGCAAAGAGAGGCCUGCGAGCACCAAUGCAGAGAAGACAAGGACUGUGGGAGUGGACAUCAGUGCGUGAGGAAGGGCUGUGGGCACGUCUGCUCCCCCAUCCCUCAAGUAGGUAUCUGUGUGACGGAGUGCAAUGUAGACCAGGACUGUGGGGCAGGAAGACGAUGCACCAGCAAUGGAUGUGGCCGUGUCUGCUCCCCACCCCAGGGAGGAGGACUCUGUGUGGACCGCUGCCGAGGAAACUGGGACUGUGGGGCCGGAGAAGAAUGUAUCAGGAAGGGAUGUGGACGGGUCUGCUCUCCAGCCCAGGAGCCAGGUAAGAGCCCUGCCUAGGUCUCCAACCCCACACAACCCAGGAGGGGACUGUGUGCUUACCUCUGCCUGGACUCCCCUUCCUUAGAGGGUUAAUUCCCAGGGUCUCUGCUUUCAGGCUUGUCCUUCCAGAGAGAAAAGCAUGUCACAGAGCUGUGUGUCCUGACUUUUUGAGCGCAGAAACUUCUUUUAUUUGGUGAUAGAACUAAUGCGUAGUAGAGAAAACUCAGAAAUAGUACUAAUUAAAAAGACAAAUUAUCCAUGAUCUCAUUACCCAGAUAACUAUGUUAACUCAAAAGCUUCCAUAAUUCACACACACAUAAACAUNUUUUUUUUUUUUUUUUUUUUUUUUUUUUUUGGUAAAUCUUGGCACUAUGCUGAGUGCUGGGAGAUAUUAAGGAGAGGUCUAUGUCCUUGAAGAUCUUUGAGGAACAGAGAUAGACAUAAACAAACCAACAAAAAUCUAGGAUAUAUGAUUUUUACAAAUAUGGUAUCAUAGACCACCCCAAUCAAUAAAUACAAUUCUGACACAUGUUUUUAAAAGCGU
RNAcentral lists this long non-coding RNA (1275 nucleotides) under Sus scrofa (pig). RNAcentral describes it as "lncRNA (ENSSSCG00055020939.1)". The record is from RNAcentral. Lineage: Eukaryota; Metazoa; Chordata; Mammalia; Artiodactyla; Suidae.